CAUCCGUAGCUCAGCUGGAUAGAGUACUCGGCUACGAACCGAGCGGUCGGAGGUUGAAUCCUCCCGGAUGAA
This 72-nucleotide transfer RNA is filed under the name Escherichia coli. RNAcentral's name for it is "tRNA-Arg". It matches the Rfam family "tRNA". From Rfam's summary of the family: Transfer RNA (tRNA) molecules are approximately 80 nucleotides in length. Their secondary structure includes four short double-helical elements and three loops (D, anti-codon, and T loops). The record is from RNAcentral. Lineage: Bacteria; Pseudomonadati; Pseudomonadota; Gammaproteobacteria; Enterobacterales; Enterobacteriaceae.